RNAcentral lists this ribosomal RNA (253 nucleotides) under uncultured bacterium. RNAcentral describes it as "partial 16S ribosomal RNA". It matches the Rfam family "Bacterial small subunit ribosomal RNA", at positions 524 to 776 of the family's 1533-position model. The record is from RNAcentral.
UACGGAGGGGGCUAGCGUUGUUCGGAAUUACUGGGCGUAAAGCGCACGUAGGCGGCUUUGUAAGUUAGAGGUGAAAGCCCGGAGCUCAACUCCGGAAUUGCCUUUAAGACUGCAUCGCUUGAAUCAUGGAGAGGUGAGUGGAAUUCCGAGUGUAGAGGUGAAAUUCGUAGAUAUUCGGAAGAACACCAGUGGCGAAGGCGACUCACUGGACAUGUAUUGACGCUGAGGUGCGAAAGCAUGGGGAGCGAACAGG